GGGGGAGGUUAAGAAAAUGUUUCCCUGAAGGGUGAUAAUUACAGGAACUGAGUUGUUUUUUUUUAAAGGCAGAGGAAAACCAGGAUGAAAAGAAGAGGAUGAAUUCAGAAAAUCGGAACCUCAUAGGACAGAUUUCACUCUCUGAAAAAGAGAGUGAGAGAAGGAGAGUGAAAGCAGUACCAAGAGGGAGAAGCUUCCUUUCUUCCUGCCUUUGAGGACAGCUGCGUGAGAAUAUGAUUUUUGGAGUUACAGCAACCACCUUAUCACCCUGUGUAACUGGAAGACCAAGAGAAUGACAAGCCCACAGCACUGACAUCGUUAACUCACUAAACCAUGUUCAGAACCAACUCCCUCUGGACUCACUGUUGUAGGAGAAAAAUAA
Equus caballus (horse) is the source of this 382-nucleotide non-coding RNA. The record is from RefSeq and is a predicted model, not a curated record. Lineage: Eukaryota; Metazoa; Chordata; Mammalia; Perissodactyla; Equidae.